ACGGGGACCCGCACAAGCAGCGGAGCGUGUGGUUCAAUUCGUUGCUACACGAAGAACCUUACCUGGGUUUGACAUAUAGGUUGUAGGGAACUGAAAAGGGACCGACCCUUCGGGAGCCUAUACAGGUGUUGCAUGGCUGUCGUCAGCUCGUGUCGUGAGAUGUUCGGUUAAGUCCGCUAACGAGCGCAACCCUCGUCGUAUGUUAUAUGUGUCAUACGAGACUGCCGGUAAAAGCCGGAGGAAGGUGAGGAUGAUGUCAAGUCAGCAUGACCUUUAUAUCCAGGGCUACACACACGCUACAAUGGUCUGUACAAUGGGUAGCCAAGCCGCGAGGCGGAGCCAAUCCUGAAAAGCAGGCCUCAGUUCAGAUUGCAGUCUGCAACUCGACUGCAUGAAGCCGGAGUUGCUAGUAACCGCAGGUCAGCAAUACUGCGGUGAAUACGUUCCCGGGUCUU
This 455-nucleotide ribosomal RNA is filed under the name uncultured Anaerolineaceae bacterium. RNAcentral describes it as "bacterial SSU rRNA". It matches the Rfam family "Bacterial small subunit ribosomal RNA", at positions 913 to 1382 of the family's 1533-position model. The record is from RNAcentral. Lineage: Bacteria; Bacillati; Chloroflexota; Anaerolineae; Anaerolineales; Anaerolineaceae.